Molecule: long non-coding RNA, 285 nt
Filed under: Brassica napus (rape)
Lineage: Eukaryota; Viridiplantae; Streptophyta; Magnoliopsida; Brassicales; Brassicaceae
Description: long non-coding RNA (BNAP_LNC007682)
Source: RNAcentral
UUGUAAUCGAAUCUCACAAUUCCGUGUCCCUUCCGAAGAUCGUAUUAAAGAAUUUUGUUUUUUGAGAUCCCGAAACGAAAUCGAUCCCGACCAAUAAUUUUGUAUCUCCGAAAAUCUUUAUUGCCAAAUCUCCUUGAUUCCAUAUCUUCCCGAUCUGACCAUUAUGAUAGAUCUCCUUGUGUUUCCAGGUUUCCCCACCAGUACCAGGAUCCCAUCCUUGAAACAUUGUCGAAACCCUAGAGAAGGGCCGUCGCCAUCGCCUGUUUUAGAGAGAGUUUUUUUUUU